UACGUAGGGGGCAAGCGUUGUCCGGAAUCAUUGGGCGUAAAGCGCGUGUAGGCGGCUUGGUAAGUCUGCUCUGAAAGCCCGGGGCUCAACCCCGGGAGGCGGGUGGAUACUGUCAAGCUCGAGUCCGGAAGAGGAGUGUGGAAUUCCUGGUGUAGUGGUGAAAUGCGUAGAGAUCCGGAGGAACACCAGUGGCGAAGGCGACACGCUGGGCCGUACCUGACACUGAUGCGCGACAGCAUGGGGAGCAAACAGG
Molecule: ribosomal RNA, 253 nt
Filed under: uncultured bacterium
Lineage: Bacteria
Description: partial 16S ribosomal RNA
Rfam family: Bacterial small subunit ribosomal RNA
Source: RNAcentral